GAUGAACGCUGGCGGCGUGCCUAAUACAUGCAAGUCGAGCGAACAGACGAGGAGCUUGCUCCUCUGACGUUAGCGGCGGACGGGUGAGUAACACGUGGAUAACCUACCUAUAAGACUGGGAUAACUUCGGGAAACCGGAGCUAAUACCGGAUAAUAUAUUGAACCGCAUGGUUCAAUAGUGAAAGACGGUUUUGCUGUCACUUUAGAUGGAUCCGCGCCGCAUUAGCUAGUUGGUAAAGUAACGGCAUACCAAGGCGACGGUGCAUAGCCGACCUGAGAGGGUGAUCGGCCACACUGGAACUGAGGCACGGUCCAGACGCGUACGGGAGGCAGCGGUAGGAAAUCUUCCGCAAUGGGCGAAAGCGUGACGGAGCAACGCCGCGUUAGUGAUGAAGAUCUUCGGAUCGUAAACCGCUUUCGCCUGUGACGAAGCGUGAGUGACGGUAAUGAGUAAAGAAGCACCGGCUAACUACGUG
RNAcentral lists this ribosomal RNA (476 nucleotides) under uncultured bacterium. Its description in RNAcentral is "partial 16S ribosomal RNA". It matches the Rfam family "Bacterial small subunit ribosomal RNA", at positions 28 to 507 of the family's 1533-position model. The record is from RNAcentral.